Molecule: non-coding RNA, 45 nt
Filed under: Oxyrrhis marina
Lineage: Eukaryota; Dinophyceae; Oxyrrhinales; Oxyrrhinaceae
Source: RNAcentral
AUAUAUAUUGUAUUUCCAUUCUUUUUCUUUUUCUUUUUCUACUGU